Molecule: ribosomal RNA, 578 nt
Filed under: Exophiala asiatica
Lineage: Eukaryota; Fungi; Ascomycota; Eurotiomycetes; Chaetothyriales; Herpotrichiellaceae
Description: eukaryotic LSU rRNA
Rfam family: 5.8S ribosomal RNA (bases 215-369)
Source: RNAcentral
AUCAUUAAUGAGUUAGGGUUCUUUAAUAGGCCCGACCUCCCAACCCUGUGUUUAUCGAAUUUUUAUGUUGCUUCGGCGGACCCGUCCACUCGUGGGCCGCCGGAGGAUUACCGAGAGGUGUCCUCUGGCCCGCGUCCGCCGAUGGCCCAUAUCUACAACCUCUUGAAUUAAUCGUGUCUACACCUGUCUAAGUCUAUGAUUAAAUUAAAAGCAAAACUUUCAACAACGGAUCUCUUGGUUCUGGCAUCGAUGAAGAACGCAGCGAAAUGCGAUAAGUAAUGCGAAUUGCAGAAUUCCAGUGAGUCAUCGAAUCUUUGAACGCACAUUGCGCCCUUUGGUAUUCCGAAGGGCAUGCCUGUUCGAGCGUCAUUAUCACCACUCAAGCCCCUGGGUUUGGAUUUGGACGGCCCGGUCGACGCGUCAUUUAGCGCCGACCCCUCCUAAAGACAAUGACGGCGGUCUCGUAGCACCCCCGGUACACUGAGCUUAAUUGAGCACGUAUCGGAUUGAGGGCGCUCGUGGAUUCCGGUCUCUGCUCCUUUAUUGAAAAGGAGCACCCCCCUUUCUCAAGGUUGACC